RNAcentral lists this long non-coding RNA (5553 nucleotides) under Olea europaea (common olive). RNAcentral describes it as "long non-coding RNA (OEUR_LNC013299)". The record is from RNAcentral. Lineage: Eukaryota; Viridiplantae; Streptophyta; Magnoliopsida; Lamiales; Oleaceae.
UGGUGUAUUCUUUUGCCUUUUUAUGAUAGUCUAUGCGGAUUAGACUAACGUUGCCUAUUACUUUUUUCAUUGGUCUUCGGAAAAACAAUGAAGAAAUAUGUUUGCUUCAUUAUUAGACCCAAAAACGAGUGAAAACAAUCUAGAAAUUUGUUUUCUUCACUAUUUGACACAAUAAAUAAAUAUGAAAUUUAUUUCAAAAAAAAAGAGAGAGAGAAAACCAUAAAUUUAGAGGCAAUGACACCAAAGAUUUAAGCAUCUUGACAUCACACUUCAAUCAUAACUAUUAUCUUAAAUUUUAAAUCACGUGCAGCAUUAAAUUCGUGCAAUUCAGAAAUUUUAUUUUCAUUGUGUUUCAUUAUUCUCUUUGCCCAUCUAGUUGCGUACAUCUUGAAAUUUUUGCACCCAUUUUGGGUGUACAAUUGGAGCUAAAGAAGAAAAUUUAUUGGAACUUUAAAGGUGAAGUCAGGGUGCUCUUUUCAGUAUCACUACUUUUCUUGAAAAGAGAGAAUCUCAAUUACUAUUCAUCUAUGAUUUCUCCUCACAUGUUGCCUGUGUGGACAAAAACAGCAAGCCAUGAUUAUUGACUGAUAACAUCUCAUUUUUUAUUACUCCCAACACUCAAUUAAUAUUGUUUAGGCCUCCACCGUUCAAUCCCAUGCCACCCAUUUCACACUUCAGAUCCUGUUAGGUAUCCAACUCUUCACCGUUCAUACAAAUAUCUACCUUAUAUAUACCUUUUUAGCUUCUCUUACACCUUUUGAAGUCUAUAGCUUAAGGAAAAAAAUGAAGGUGAUUUUCGUUCCACUGUCGAUGAGGAAGAAUGAAGACGAAGAAUUGGGAUCUACUGUGGUCACCGACGAUGUAGAGGAGGAUCUAAAGCUCGCGAUCAAGGACCACAAGGCAUGGUUUCUGCUUCUUUUUUGCCUAUGCUUUUGUGGAUAUCAUGUAGAGAAUACAAAGAAUGUGUUCUCUUCAUCAGAACUAACUAAUCAGUCGACGAAAAAUUAAAAACUUAAAUGGAGUCGACCCUGAAGGUUUGUUUUCAACUCUCAAAUUUCUACUUUUUUAAUUUCUAUCCGUUUGUUUUUCUUUAAGACUUUUAAUGAUUUGAUUAUUUUUCAGUACAUGAAUGUUAGAUUUUUGAAAUUUUUUGCCCCUAAAAAAAAGAAAUUGAGAAAAUUUUAGAUGAUAAAGAUUGCUUAGGUGAUUACAGCCACUGGUAGUGGUAUGUUGUUGUUGUAAGCUUCAAUUUGUUACUGUGUUUUGCAUUAUAAUCUUAAUACAAUUGUUUGUUUGAAGAAAAUAUACUUCUAAUUAACCAUUUUCCUUUAGACGAAGGCAGUUGCGGUCAAGGACAAGAUCUAGCUACCUUCUAUUUGGUCGCGAAAAGCCUGUGCACAAGGUCCUAGGCAGAGAGAAAUAUACGGAUGUAUAUCUCUCUAUUGAUUAAUUUUACACAUCUAUUAGAUAUUUAUGUAGGAUCUUGGUGUUUUGAUUGGCAAAUGACUAAUUGUUUAUGUGUGUUUAUGUUACUGGUGCAAUUGUAGUUGUGUGUGAUUUUGACUAAAGAUCUAUUUAAGGUUGAUCCAACUUAAUUGCUACUGUUUAGUUGCAAUGUGAAAAUAGAAUCGCUGUUCUGGAAUCGUUUAUAGCUUUUUACUGCUGAUAAUUUAUUUAUUUUACCCUUUUUAUUUUGAAUUCUUACCAUACUACUGACACUUGAACCUUUAACAUUCACAAAAAUGCAGUAAGGGGUAGAAAUAAACAAGGGCAUAUAUUCAAAUGCGAAAUUAUGAAUUACACUCUAAUUUUUUGCAUUUUUCGAGGAAUCAAGUAGAGACAUCAACAAUUCUAGAUACUUGUCUAAUUUAAGAUCAGAGUUAUGAGUUUAUUCUCCUUUCCAUGGAUACUUGUACAUCUUUCCACUUGAAUUAUCUUACUGAUUUUUGGCAGCUGCUGAUGUUUUCCUAUGGAGGGAAAAGAAAAUUUGUGCUGGCAUGCUUAUUCUUCGUUACAUCUUUAUUGUCAAGUAGGCUGUGGAUUAAUUAGGUUCUUGGAAGUGGAAUUAUGAUAAUUUAAAGGGAAAUUUUAGAAAAGUUAUCUUCUUCAGAAAUUGUGAAUAAUGUUGCAAUAAUUUCAUUAAUCAAUUGUGGGCAUAUACAUCAAUUAGCGUAAAUCAAAGAAUGAUGAAAUCAUAGUAGUCCAUUGAUGUGAGCACAUGAUCUCUUAUGAUCACUUUCCCUUGUAUAAUAGAAAUUUCUACAAUUGUGGGGAUACACUUUUGUUGGAUUGAACUUUUGUAUUUUUCAUUUUUUAAGUCUGAUAUUUAUAUUCUAUUUUUGCUUUAGCAGUUGUAUUCGAUCUAAGUUUGAAGGUUAAUUCUAUUCACUUCUCACUUCUAAUGCAGGUCCUGUAGCAGAAUAUGCAUUCCAUUGACAAGCAAGGAUUAUGGGACCUUCAACAGUCCUUAUUCUGGAGGUGUAUUUUUUGGUUUCCAUUCAUUUUCCUCUCGAUUACCCUUUUAUAUGCUUGUAUCCUCUACAUUAGUUGUAUAGUAACUUCCCAUCUUCGAGUCAUUUGCUCACUUGUAUUUAGAUCGAACUCUGAUAGUGAAAAGCAGAUAACUGUGCAGGAAGAUUUCUUUCUCUUACUAGGUGUCGAAACCCUUCAUACCUUAUCAGUUUCUAAGCUAAACGAUAUAAACAUAUUAUAAUAUGUAAUGAUUUACCCUAUCCCCAAGUGCAAUUUUGCAGAAUAAGUUUACGAGUUCAUUCUCUUCUUUCUCUGGUUCUUUUUCCUGCUGCGUUUUGCAAAAUGAAUUCCUGAAAUUUCAACUUCUUUUCCCCAGGAAGUUCUUUCAAUAGGUAGAUGUUAAGCACAUAAACUAUAUAUUUGUGUUCAUUGUUGAAACUCUAUGAAUAUCAUUGGUAAUUACUCAAAACAAUACUACAAAUUUUUUUAUUUAAUAUCUUGUUGAAAAGAGUUUGUUUUCCCCUAUCCUUGGAGAGUUUGUGAUUCUUCCAAAUAGUUAUUGUUUCCAUGGAGAUUAUGUUGAUAAACUCAGUGACCCAAAUAGCUGAUUUAUUCUUUGUUUCUGGUUGCUUUUACAACAAAAAGUUUUCCACCCAACAUCAAUAGCAAUGGAAGCAUUUGCCUUGAUAUUCUUAAUGGUACAAUCAUACUACAUGUGCAUCAUUCUAUACAUCUUGGUUUGUAUUCUUCCUCAUGGAACCAUCUUCCUUUGAUUUUCCAGCAAUCUUUCACAUCACUGCCCAUACUGUGCUACAUAGCGGGAAUGUCAUCCAUGGUGCAUGGGAAAAUGUACAACUAGCAUUAUUGAUCUAAGGUAAUUAAUUUUUUUUCGUUAUAAUAAUGAGAUGACAUCAUUUAAUGAAUUGUGGCUAUACACGUUCAAACUUGGACUAAAUUAAUUUUAAUGUAUGGGUUUCCACACUUGAUAUAUCAUACAUUAUUCUCUGUGUUCGCGUUCCCAUUUAUGACUGGUUCCACAGUCUUAUGCAUUGGCUUCAUCAUUAAAAAAUGUAACAGAUUGCAAUGUAUGCUCGGGAUUCAUUUAGUUCUUUUUUGGUCAAUACACUAACUUGGUUCGGAAGACAGGAAAAAUAAAUCAGGGAUUUGGCUUGGGUUUUAGGUGAUUUUAAAAUUGGUAAUCAAAGUAAACUUAUUUUAUUACUUAGUUAUGAGAAAAAUUGUUGGGUUGAAGUCACCAAAGUAAACAACCGAUCCAAUAUGAUGAUUAUAAUUACAACACAUAAAAAAAAAAAAUCUUUUAAUAUGUUGAGGAAUAUCCCUAUCAAUAAUUAUCUAGGAAAUGGCGACAUUCCAUAUAUAGAAAUAAACUCCCGAGUAUGAUCUUCUCUUACUUUUCUUUAAACCAUUUUCCAAGUUGCAUGCACAUGUUGGAUUGCCAUUAUCGUAUACGAUAGAUCUUCACAUUUCAUAUGCCAAUAUUAUCGAGUUUAGAUUCUCAAAAUUUAAACUCUCUCUCCAGAUAUACUAUUAUUACCCUUUGACUGCUCCUUUGGACCUUACUAAGGUUUACAAUAACAUCCAAUGGAAUAGCACAAAGGCCCAACACGUUGACACAAUAAUUCAUAUGAGACGCGACUGGGUAAGUUCCUCAUUUUAAUUCCAUUAUGUCUUCUCAUUUCUUCAUGCACCUUAAAUGCUUCAUCUCUAUUUUUCAAAGAGUAAAAUCAUAUGUAAAUUGACCACAUUAAAUUAAGUUCAUUUUCCUUACCUCAUUGAAUACUAAUUUUACCUUCAAAAUAACUGUGCCCGUGUAGAAUACAUAAAAUUCAUGCAUGUAACACAAACCAACCCUUCCCCCCCCCCCCUUCAAACGCAUAAUUUAAUUCAUUUUUAAAUAUGUAGUGAUAUCUAUUAUUUAACAAGAGCACGUGCCCAUUUAUUUAUAUUAUAAGAUAUAACAUGAAUCACCAAAAUCAUUUCAAAAUAAAUUUAGUACCUUCCAAGAGCGUAAAUCAGAAGUGGGUGGAAAGAAAUUUGUUAUAUAUUUUCUUCGUGUGUUGAAAUAUUCUUGCAAUUACAAGAAACAGGGAAAUCAUUUUUAGUAAAGGAAUGCCUAAGGUUUCUUUCUAAUUUUAGGUCCUUUAUUUAAUGAUAAGAUUGCACUAAUUAAUUAAUUAUCGAAUUCAUUGGAUUCAAAAUUGUGCUAAUUACCAAAUUCAUUACAUUGAAUAUUGGGCUGAUUCCAUUCUUCUUUACUGUCCAAAUAAAAAUUCAAUCAAACGAAAAAUAUAUAAAUGUUAAGAUCAAGCCUAUGUUUAAUUUAUUUAAUAACAAAUUAUAACAUCAUAAGCUUAUUAUAAAAUAUCAUAUUAUGUGUUAUAUGUUCAAUUGAAUUGCAUUAUAAUUAACUUUAAUUGCCACGUCGAUCAUAAGGCGUCCAAGGUACACUCCAUUACAAAACAUGGUUAUUCACAAAGACAAUAAAUUAACAUUUCGCAUCAUACAUAUAUGUAAAUUGAAGAAAAGAAAGUGCGGCGUUACAAAAGGAAUCUCAUCUUUUGGGUAUUAAAAUUUAUUUUAAUUUCACUAUUUAUUUAAUACCAACUCUAAUAUUUUUUUGUAUUCGUUUAGCUUUAUUUUACAUGAAAUUUGUUAGUUUAAGGGAUAUCCUCUUUUACAAUUAUUCUUAUAAUUUGUUUCCAUUGCAAAAAAUAAAAUAAAAUAAAAUAAAAAAGGUGGAAAAAAUAAAACCACCUACCCAAGGAAAAAUGAAUUCCCCAAAAAUAAGGAAUUGGUGCACGUGUGAGUCAAAGGUGGAAAACCAAUUGUCUAGAAAAUUUUUACUAUCAAACAAGCCAAAAGUGAGACAUGAAAUUUGUUUUCCAUUUUCCAUGGAAAAUUUUGCGAUAUCAAACAUGGCCAAAGUGUAUUUUUUAUAAUUAUUUUUUUAUACUUAUAACAAGAAAUUUCAAUAAUUAAUUGUUUGGUAGAUAUUUUGUUAAUUGAUUUUUUGACCGUUAGAGAUAAAGUGAGUCCCACCUGUGAGAAUAAUUCAAAAAU